UCCCUGGUGGUCCAGUGGGUAAGACUCUGUCCUAACAAUGCAGGGGGCCCAGGUUCGAUCCCUGGUCGGGGAA
Molecule: non-coding RNA, 73 nt
Organism: Balaenoptera acutorostrata (minke whale)
Lineage: Eukaryota; Metazoa; Chordata; Mammalia; Artiodactyla; Balaenopteridae
Source: the annotation of a RefSeq genome assembly